UACGUAGGCAGCAAGCGUUGUUCGGAGUUACUGGGCGUAAAGGGUGCGUAGGCGGCCUUAUAAGUAUGGUGUGAAAUCUCCCGGCUUAACUGGGAGGGUGCGCUAUAGACUGCGGGGCUCGAGUGUGGGAGAGGAAAGUGGAAUUCCUGGUGUAGCGGUGAAAUGCGUAGAUAUCAGGAGGAACACCGGUGGUGUAAACGGCUUUCUGGACCAUAACUGACGCUGAGGCACGAAAGCGUGGGUAGCAAACAGG
Molecule: ribosomal RNA, 253 nt
Filed under: uncultured bacterium
Lineage: Bacteria
Description: partial 16S ribosomal RNA
Rfam family: Bacterial small subunit ribosomal RNA
Source: RNAcentral